GGGAGAGUUGACCGGCCACAUGGAAAUGGGACACGGCCCAGACUCUACCGGGAGGCAGCAGUGGGGAUAUUGCACAAUGGGCGGAAGCUUGAUGCAGCAACGCCGCUUGAGGGAUGACGGCCUUCGGUUUGUAAACCUCUUUAAGCAGGAAAGAAGCGAAAGUGACGGUACUGCAAGAAAAAGCGCCGCUAAAUACGUGCCCAGCAGCCGCGGUAAUACGUAGGCUGCAAGCGUCAUCCGGAAUUAUGGGGCGUAAAGAGCUCGUAGGCGGUUGUCGGCGUCUGCUGUGAAUCUGGGGGGGCUCAACCCCAGGCCUGCAGUGGUACGGGGCAGACUAGAGUGCGGUAGGGAGGAUGGAAAUUCCUGGUGUAGCGGUGGAAUGCGCAGAUAUCAGGAGGAACACCGAUGGCGAAGGCAGAUCUCUGGGCCGUAACUGACGCUGAGGAGCGAAAGGGUGGGAGCAAACCAGGCUUAGAUACCCUGGUAGUCCACCCGUAAACGUUGGGAAACUAGUUGUGGGGUCCAUUCCACGGAUUCCGUGACGCAGCUAACGCAUUAAGUUCCCCGCCUGGGGAGUACGGCCGCAAGGCUAAAACUCAAAGGAAUUGACGGGGACCCGCACAAGCGGCGGAGCAUGCGGAUUAAUUCGAUGCAACGCGAAGAACCUUACCAAGGCUUGACAUACACGAGAACGCUGCAGAAAUGUAGAACUCUUUGGACACUCGUGAACAGGUGGUGCAUGGUUGUCGUCAGCUCGUGUCGUGAGAUGUUGGGUUAAGUCCCGCAACGAGCGCAACCCUCGUUCUAUGUUGCCAGCACGUAAUGGUGGGAACUCAUGGGAUACUGCCGGGGUCAACUCGGAGGAAGGUGGGGAUGACGUCAAAUCAUCAUGCCCCUUAUGUCUUGGGCUUCACGCAUGUUACAAUGGCCGGUACAAAGGGCGGCAAUACCGCGAGGUGGAGCGAAUCCCAAAAAGCCGGUCCCAGUUCGGAUUGAGGUCUGCAACUCGACCUCAUGAAGUCGGAGUCGCUAGUAAUCGCAGAUCAGCAACGCUGCGGUGAAUACGUUCCCGGGUCUUGUACACACCGCCCGUCAAGUCAUGAAAGUCGGUAACACCUGAAGCCGGGACCCAACCUCUUGUGGAGGGAGUGAUGC
This 1155-nucleotide ribosomal RNA is filed under the name Microbacterium aurantiacum. RNAcentral describes it as "bacterial SSU rRNA". It matches the Rfam family "Bacterial small subunit ribosomal RNA", at positions 294 to 1457 of the family's 1533-position model. The record is from RNAcentral. Lineage: Bacteria; Bacillati; Actinomycetota; Actinomycetes; Micrococcales; Microbacteriaceae.